UUGUGCCAGCCGCCGCGGUAAUACGAAGGGGGCUAGCGUUGCUCGGAAUCACUGGGCGUAAAGGGUGCGUAGGCGGGUCUUUAAGUCAGGGGUGAAAUCCUGGAGCUCAACUCCAGAACUGCCUUUGAUACUGAGGAUCUUGAGUCCGGAAGAGGUGAGUGGAACUGCGAGUGUAGAGGUGAAAUUCGUAGAUAUUCGCAAGAACACCAGUGGCGAAGGCGGCUCACUGGUCCGGUACUGACGCUGAGGCACGAAAGCGUGGGGAGCAA
Molecule: ribosomal RNA, 269 nt
Filed under: uncultured Hyphomicrobiales bacterium
Lineage: Bacteria; Pseudomonadati; Pseudomonadota; Alphaproteobacteria; Hyphomicrobiales
Description: uncultured Rhizobiales bacterium partial 16S ribosomal RNA
Rfam family: Bacterial small subunit ribosomal RNA
Source: RNAcentral